GUAGGUGGCAAGCGUUGUCCGGAAUUAUUGGGCGUAAAGCGCGCGCAGGGCGGUCCUUUAAGUCUGAUGUGAAAGCCCACGGCUCAACCGUGGAGGGUCAUUGGAAACUGGGGGACUUGAGUACAGAAGAGGAAAGCGGAAUUCCAAGUGUAGCGGUGAAAUGCGUAGAGAUUUGGUGGAACACCAGUGGCGAAGGCGGCUUUCUGGUCUGUAACUGACGCUGAGGCGCGAAAGCGUGGGGAGCAAACAGGAUUAGAUACCCUGGUAGUCCACGCCGUAAACGAUGAGUGCUAAGUGUUAGGGGGUUUCCGCCCCUUAGUGCUGCAGCUAACGCAUUAAGCACUCCGCCUGGGGAGUACGGCCGCAAGGCUG
RNAcentral lists this ribosomal RNA (372 nucleotides) under uncultured organism. RNAcentral describes it as "partial 16S ribosomal RNA". It matches the Rfam family "Bacterial small subunit ribosomal RNA", at positions 527 to 896 of the family's 1533-position model. The record is from RNAcentral.